This 217-nucleotide signal recognition particle RNA is filed under the name uncultured Uronema sp. RNAcentral's name for it is "partial Protozoan signal recognition particle RNA". It matches the Rfam family "Protozoan signal recognition particle RNA". Lineage: Eukaryota; Ciliophora; Oligohymenophorea; Philasterida; Uronematidae. The record is from RNAcentral.
UGUAACCUUCGGGUGACUUAGUAGUUGUAUGGGUGUAAGGUGGCAGUAGAGGCUAUACUUUGGUAGUUUGCUAAGAGAACGCCUGACGUAAAGUUUGUGUUACCAUAGCAAUCAACUAGUAAUAGUGAUUGAUAGGGUAUUAAAUAUCAGUGAACAGCCCAAGGCAGGCAACUGAGCAGGGAACAGCUGAAGCACAAACUGGUACUCAGACAACGAU